GUUGAGCGCGAAGUCCUCGCGGUGGGCGAGGCGGAAGUGGAGCGUGGAGGCGUUGCCGUCGUGCGCGGCGAGGCUGAGCUGCUGCUGGUCCAGAGACUGAGAGGCGGCGGGAGUGGUGACAGGGUCCGGCGAGAGCGGGGUGGCGAGAAGAGAGAGGGUGCGCGUGGGCUUACACAGCGCGGCGGGGAGAGGCAGCAGCACGGCGGCAAUGAGGAGGAGGAGGAGCGUGGACGGGAACGCCAUAGCCGUUGGGUGGAGAGGGGAGGGGAGGGAAUGGCCGGCGGGCGGUUAAUAAUUGGGCAUCGGCCGUCGGUUGCUAGCUGGGGCGAAUAAAUGUGGCCAUGGUUCUUGCCGGCGGCGG
This 361-nucleotide long non-coding RNA is filed under the name Oryza brachyantha (malo sina). RNAcentral describes it as "long non-coding RNA (OBRA_LNC001551)". Lineage: Eukaryota; Viridiplantae; Streptophyta; Magnoliopsida; Poales; Poaceae. The record is from RNAcentral.